This 649-nucleotide ribosomal RNA is filed under the name uncultured bacterium. RNAcentral describes it as "bacterial SSU rRNA". It matches the Rfam family "Bacterial small subunit ribosomal RNA", at positions 743 to 1400 of the family's 1533-position model. The record is from RNAcentral.
ACGCUGAGGCACGAAAGCGUGGGGAGCAAAUAGGAUUAGAUACCCUAGUAGUCCACGCCGUAAACGAUGAGGACCAAGUGUUGGGGGUGAAACCUCAGUGCUGAAGUUAACGCAGUGAGUCCUCCGCCUGGGGAGUAUGCACGCAAGUGUGAAACUCAAAGGAAUUGACGGGGGCCCGCACAAGCGGUGGAGUAUGUGGUUUAAUUCGAAGCAACGCGAAGAACCUUACCAGGCCUUGACAUGGGAUGCGAAGACGCAGAGAUGCGUUGGAGGUCAACAUCCACACAGGUGGUGCAUGGUUGUCGUCAACUCGUGUCGUGAGAUGUUGGUCAAGUCCCGCAACGAGCGCAACCCUUGUGGCAUGUUGCUAACAGGAAAGCUGAGGACUCAUGCCAGACUGCCGGUGACCAACCGGAGGAAGGCGGGGAUGACGUCAAAUCAUCAUGCCCCUUAUGGCCUGGGCUACACACGUACUACAAUGGCGGCUACAAAGAGCGGCGAGACAGGGAUGUCGAGCGAAUCUCAUAAAAGCCGUCCCAGUUCGGAUUGGAGCCUGCAACCCGGCUCCAUGAAGUUGGAAUCGCUAGUAAUCGCGGAUCAGCAUGCCGCGGUGAAUACGUUCCCGGGCCUUGCACUCACCGCCCGUCAA